AAGCCAUACAGUUGCUCAAUCUUCUUUUUUUUUUUUAUUGUCAAAGGUCAGUUUGAAACAUUUUUGUCAGAUUUUGAGAGGCAUUCGUCACGCUCAUUCCGCUCACCGUUUACAGGUUAG
This is a long non-coding RNA of Etheostoma cragini (Arkansas darter), 120 nucleotides long. RefSeq lists it as uncharacterized. The transcript has 3 exons. Lineage: Eukaryota; Metazoa; Chordata; Actinopteri; Perciformes; Percidae. The record is from RefSeq and is a predicted model, not a curated record.